ACGCGGUAAAGUGAAACAUCUCAGUAACCGCAGGAAAAGAAAGAGAAUCGAUUCCGUAAGUAGCGGCGAGCGAAAGCGGAACAGCCCAAACCAGAAGGAUUUAUCCUUUUGGGGUUGUAGGACCAUAACAUGGGGAGCAACGGCUAGAAGAACACUCUGGAAAGAGUGACCAAAGAGGGUGACAGUCCCGUAAUCGAAAGCCCGCGCCGACCUAUUGGUAUCCUGAGUAGCACCGGACACGUGAAACCCGGUGUGAAUCUGCGCCGACCACGGCGUAAGGCUAAAUACAAUAUGACGACCGACAGUGAACUAGUACCGCGAGGGAAAGGUGAAAAGCACCCCUGUUAGGGGAGUGAAAUAGUAACUGAAACCGAUGGCUAACAAAUCAGUAGGAGCUCCCUUGUGGAGUGACUGCCUGCCUUUUGUAUAAUGAGUCUGCGAGUUAAUGUCCGUAGCAAGCCUAAGCCGCUCAGCGGUGGAGGCGCAGCGAAAGCGAGUCUGAAUAGGGCGCUCAGUUGCUGGCAUUAGACCCGAAGG
This 537-nucleotide ribosomal RNA is filed under the name Alexandrium margalefii. RNAcentral's name for it is "partial Bacterial large subunit ribosomal RNA". It matches the Rfam family "Bacterial large subunit ribosomal RNA", at positions 183 to 721 of the family's 2925-position model. The record is from RNAcentral. Lineage: Eukaryota; Dinophyceae; Gonyaulacales; Pyrocystaceae.